CUGCGGGCGGCUGCCGCCGAGCCGGGGGGAGCGGGCGGUGGCUGCGGGAUCCCCGGCUCCGCCUCGGGGCUCGCCGUGCCUGCAGGCGACGCGCCGCUGCUCCCGCAGCCCCGAGCCCUGCGAGCCCGAACGGGAGAGAAACAAAAGAUUCUCCUUUCAAACCCAGGCCGUGCUCUUAAAAUCUUCAUGAGACCCAUUCUGCUUCUGUGAGAUUCUGCUCUAAAUCAACCAUUCUUGAACAUGAAACAACUGGAAUUCAAACCAGCUUCUCACAGCUCUUACCACUGAGAAAUAAAGAAUGCAAUCAACUAAA
Molecule: non-coding RNA, 313 nt
Organism: Lonchura striata (white-rumped munia)
Lineage: Eukaryota; Metazoa; Chordata; Aves; Passeriformes; Estrildidae
Source: RefSeq, a predicted model, not a curated record